CCCCAAAAUUAUAUAUUUUAAUAAAAGCAAAUAAGGUCCUUUUUCAGAACUGUGUUUCUUUUCUCAACCAAUAGCAAAUAUAUAAUCAUCGUAUUUUCCUUGUUUUCCUUGCCUGAAAAUAAACUCAAACAAAAUGACUAUCCUAAUCUAAAUUGUAAUAUAUCUGUUGCUACUCUUCUGGAACUUCCUCUCCCACGGUCUACCUCUGAGCAAUCCUUGCAUGGUUUUGACUUUGCAUGUUUACUUUAGCAACUUCCAGCUGUCGUGCUGUGCCAGUUAGCCUAUGUUGCCUUUCCGCUCUACAGUCACUGUUUAUCGCAGCUCGGAGGUAGGGAAUCAGAACUGCUUGGAGUUUCUCAAGGUGAUCGUGACGUUGAACUUUCUCAACAGAGGGUGCUAGAGGGACACUGAAGGAAGAAAAGACUCUCCCCUGUUCCCUGCUGUUUCCAGGGAUGCUCUCAAGCCUCUUACCAUGCCAGCUUCCAUCUGCAAGCCCACACACCUGACCCACCUCCCAGCUCCGCCCUGCAGGAUUGCCGUGGGGCUGGGCUCCCGCUCGCUGAGCACACCCAUGUGCCUGGCCACCACGCGCCAUUCACGUCACAGUCACCCAGUGCUCUGGUGCCCCUUCAGCAGCCCAGGUCCAUGUUGCAGCCAUCACCUGCAGGUCACUUAUGCACUGCCUGAAUUCUGGAGGGUCGGUUUCUGCAGAUCAGCUCUGGUGCAUGCCAUGCCGCCCAUGAACUUCCCUGGCAUCUAGUGGGUUCCAGCUACAGCCUUGGGAGGGACCCUGUUUGAAGUUUAUUCUUCUCUCGUUACCCUCUCCCACCCCUGGGAUUACCAUGUAGAGUUUUUUUUUAUAUCCUAUAGUUAUCCUAUAGUUUAUCCUAUAUAUCCUAUAUCCUAUAGUUAAUCUUUUAUCGAAGUCUAAUAAUGCUUCAUUAAAAAAAAUAUGACGUGAUGUCUGCCUCGUGAUUGGCCCCAUUGAUGCUUGCACAUUUUGGCCUACAAUAAAGGUAAAUAUAACUUAAAACUUGUAAUAUUCGAGCUUCCACUGGUAUUGAGCCAGAUACCAUCUAAAGUUUCAAAUAAAAAAAUGACAUUUUAGAAAUAAAACUUUCCAAA
This is a long non-coding RNA of Lynx canadensis (Canada lynx), 1125 nucleotides long. RefSeq lists it as uncharacterized. The record is from RefSeq and is a predicted model, not a curated record. The transcript has 2 exons. Lineage: Eukaryota; Metazoa; Chordata; Mammalia; Carnivora; Felidae.